This 463-nucleotide ribosomal RNA is filed under the name uncultured Geobacter sp. RNAcentral describes it as "bacterial SSU rRNA". It matches the Rfam family "Bacterial small subunit ribosomal RNA", at positions 338 to 792 of the family's 1533-position model. The record is from RNAcentral. Lineage: Bacteria; Pseudomonadati; Thermodesulfobacteriota; Desulfuromonadia; Geobacterales; Geobacteraceae.
CCUACGGGAGGCAGCAGUGGGGAAUUUUGCGCAAUGGGCGAAAGCCUGACGCAGCAACGCCGCGUGAGUGAUGAAGGCCUUCGGGUCGUAAAGCUCUGUCGGGAGGGAAGAAAUGGUCGAGGGUUAAUACCUCUUGGUCUUGACGGUACCUCCGAAGGAAGCACCGGCUAACUCCGUGCCAGCAGCCGCGGUAAUACGGAGGGUGCAAGCGUUGUUCGGAAUUAUUGGGCGUAAAGCGCGUGUAGGCGGUCUUUUAAGUCUGAUGUGAAAGCCCCGGGCUCAACAUGGGAAGUGCAUUGGAAACUGGGAGACUUGAGUACGGGAGAGGGUAGUGGAAUUCCUAGUGUAGGAGUGAAAUCCGUAGAUAUUAGGAGGAACACCGGUGGCGAAGGCGGCUGCCUGGACCGAUACUGACGCUGAGACGCGAAAGCGUGGGGAGCAAACAGGAUUAGAUACCCCUGUA